This 440-nucleotide long non-coding RNA is filed under the name Physcomitrium patens. RNAcentral describes it as "long non-coding RNA (PPAT_LNC001234)". The record is from RNAcentral. Lineage: Eukaryota; Viridiplantae; Streptophyta; Bryopsida; Funariales; Funariaceae.
AGUUGCCCUUGCCCAAUGCUUUCGAGUAUAAUGGCUCAAAGUUUCCAUUUCCUUAUCACUAUAAUCUUCGAAAUGUACUCGUUGAUUAUACCCAUUCUUUUCAUUUGUUGGUUGUUUGUAACCAAUAUCAACCUCUUCUUCAUCUUUAUAUAUUCUUGCAUCAAUAGCAUGACUCAUUCCAGUUUUAUCCAUUAAUUGCCUCUUUCGCUUAAUGCUGUCAAUGAUAACAUCAUGAAACUCCUUCUUUGCAAUUCCCAAAACUUCUUUCAAUGUGAAUUCUACCUUAGCAUUUAAUAUACAUUCUUCCAACACUCCUUUCAAAUUUGUUGCCGCUUCAAUGUCAGAAAGUAGCUUAUAAGCAAUUGAUUUGCCCUUAUCUUUUGUUUCCCUUGUUUUUUCUUCUAAUGAUGCUGAGGUAUCCUUUACAUGCAAUUCUUGUA